AAAUGAUACUAAACUGUUUUUGCGAUGUGUUCCUAAUAUGUACUAUAAAUAUAUUGGGAACAUUUUGCAUGUGUAGUUUUGUAUCCAUAUA
MicroRNA precursor from Cercocebus atys (sooty mangabey), 91 nucleotides. Ensembl annotates it as microRNA 450a-1. Its record names the gene MIR450A1. The record is from Ensembl. Lineage: Eukaryota; Metazoa; Chordata; Mammalia; Primates; Cercopithecidae.